CAGUCGACGAACUUCUUUAUCACCGAGUGCUUGCACUCACCGAUAAAGAGUUGAGUGGCGAACGGGUGAGUAACACGUGGGCAACCUGCCCAAAAGAGGGGGAUAACACUUGGAAACAGGUGCUAAUACCGCAUAACCAUAGUUACCGCAUGGUAACUAUGUAAAAGGUGGCUAUGCUACCGCUUUUGGAUGGGCCCGCGGCGCAUUAGCUAGUUGGUGGGGUAAAGGCUUACCAAGGCAAUGAUGCGUAGCCGAACUGAGAGGUUGAUCGGCCACAUUGGGACUGAGACACGGCCCAAACUCCUACGGGAGGCAGCAGUAGGGAAUCUUCCACAAUGGGCGAAAGCCUGAUGGAGCAACGCCGCGUGGGUGAAGAAGGUCUUCGGAUCGUAAAACCCUGUUGUUAGAGAAGAAAGUGCGUGAGAGUAACUGUUCACGUUUCGACGGUAUCUAACCAGAAAGCCACGGCUAACUACGUGCCAGCAGCCGCGGUAAUACGUAGGUGGCAAGCGUUAUCCGGAUUUAUUGGGCGUAAAGGGAACGCAGGCGGUCUUUUAAGUCUGAUGUGAAAGCCUUCGGCUUAACCGGAGUAGUGCAUUGGAAACUGGGAGACUUGAGUGCAGAAGAGGAGAGUGGAACUCCAUGUGUAGCGGUGAAAUGCGCAGAUAUAUGGAAGAACACCAGUGGCGAAAGCGGCUCUCUGGUCUGUAACUGACGCUGAGGUUCGAAAGCGUGGGUAGCAAACAGGAUUAGAUACCCUGGUAGUCCACGCCGUAAA
Molecule: ribosomal RNA, 778 nt
Filed under: uncultured bacterium
Lineage: Bacteria
Description: bacterial SSU rRNA
Rfam family: Bacterial small subunit ribosomal RNA
Source: RNAcentral